This 440-nucleotide ribosomal RNA is filed under the name uncultured bacterium. RNAcentral's name for it is "partial 16S ribosomal RNA". It matches the Rfam family "Bacterial small subunit ribosomal RNA", at positions 338 to 795 of the family's 1533-position model. The record is from RNAcentral.
CCUACGGGUGGCAGCAGUGGGGGAUAUUGCACAAUGGGGGAAACCCUGAUGCAGCGACGCCGCGUGAGUGAAGAAGUAUUUCGGUAUGUAAAGCUCUAUCAGCAGGGAAGAAAAUGACAGUACCUGACCAAGAAGCCCCGGCUAACUGCGUGCCAGCAGCCGCGGUCAUACGUAGGGGGCAAGCGUUAUCCGGAUUUACUGGGUGUAAAGGGAGCGUAGACGGUUAUGUAAGUCUGGAGUGAAAGCCCGGGGCACAACCCCGGGACUGCUUUGGAAACUGGGUAACUGGAGUGCAGGAGGGGCAGGCGGAAUUCCUGGUGUAGCGGUGAAAUGCGUAGAGAUCAGGAGGAACACCGGCGGCGAAGGCGGCCUGCUGGACUGAGACUGACGUUGAGGCUCGAAAGCGUGGGGAGCAAACAGGAUUAGAUACCCCAGUAGUC